Molecule: ribosomal RNA, 570 nt
Filed under: uncultured bacterium
Lineage: Bacteria
Description: bacterial SSU rRNA
Rfam family: Bacterial small subunit ribosomal RNA
Source: RNAcentral
GGGCCCGCACAAGCGGCGGAGCAUGCGGAUUAAUUCGAUGCAACGCGAAGAACCUUACCAAGGCUUGACAUGGACCGGACCGGGCUGGAAACAGUCCUUCCCCUUUGGGGCCGGUUCACAGGUGGUGCAUGGUUGUCGUCAGCUCGUGUCGUGAGAUGUUGGGUUAAGUCCCGCAACGAGCGCAACCCUCGUUCCAUGUUGCCAGCGCGUAAUGGCGGGGACUCAUGGGAGACUGCCGGGGUCAACUCGGAGGAAGGUGGGGACGACGUCAAAUCAUCAUGCCCCUUAUGUCUUGGGCUUCACGCAUGCUACAAUGGCCGGUACAAAGGGUUGCGAUACUGUGAGGUGGAGCUAAUCCCAAAAAGCCGGUCUCAGUUCGGAUUGGGGUCUGCAACUCGACCCCAUGAAGUCGGAGUCGCUACUAAUCGCAGAUCAGCAACGCUGCGGUGAAUACGUUCCCGGGCCUUGUACACACCGCCCGUCAAGUCACGAAAGUUGGUAACACCCGAAGCCGGUGGCCUAACCCCUUGUGGGAGGGAGCUGUCGAAGGUGGGACUGGCGAUUGGGACU